Molecule: long non-coding RNA, 943 nt
Organism: Gossypium raimondii (Peruvian cotton)
Lineage: Eukaryota; Viridiplantae; Streptophyta; Magnoliopsida; Malvales; Malvaceae
Exons: 2
Source: RefSeq, a predicted model, not a curated record
AGCUCAAAGUAAUAACAUGUCAUAAAUAUGAUUACGUAUAUAAAACGUUAUAUAGGUUAAUAAAACAUAAUAAUAAUGCUAAAUAAUAAUAAUAGUAACAGUAAAGUAAAACUAGUAGUAAACUAAUAAAAAUAAUAAAACAAAGGACCGAUUUAGAAUUAAAUAGAAAUUUAGUAGCAAAUCUUGACAUAAAUAGAAAAGAAAGGACCAGAUUGAAUCAUGGUGAAAAAUAAUAAGGACCUGGAACAUAAAUAACCCUCCCCAUACCAAAACGCGCGGGUCAAGCUGCAAGCGGAUCGGGUCAUCGGGUCUGAGCCUUAUACGACGUCGUUUUGAGGCUACUGAAGCAAGCCACAAACGACGUCGUUUCACAGUUGCUUUAAGACUCAAAAAGAAAGGGAAAAAUUCAGUCUGUAUCAGCAAAAAAAAACAAUAAUAAGAACAAGAGAAACCCUAAGGGUUUCCCCCUUUUUUCUAUCCGCCGCUUGAAGCCGCUCUUCUUCAACACCGAUUUGGACGGAGCAAAGAAGAGCUUCGACGGCGCCAAGGUUUGUGGAGUCCAUUGGCAGAAAGCUUUGCCAUUUUGGUGCAAAAAUGGAUGGAGGCGUCGUCAUCGGGCGUGGUGCGCGCUGAGGGCGCACAUGGGGUAGCAGCGGCGCAAGGGGCGCCAGAAACCCUAGGGUUUCUGGCCAUUCCAAAAAUUUUUAAGGUUUUGGGUCAUUAUUUUGUUUGGGCUAUUUUUUUUAUUUUGGCUUAAUUUGGGUUGUGGGUUUAGUUUGGGUACUAGGCCCGGGUCAAAAAUUAGUCUGUACAAUAACAAUAAUCAUCUACCUAAAAAAAUCUGCUAAGGGUAUUCUAGUCAUUUUAGUUUUUUUCCUUAUGCUAUUACAACAUCAUUCCAUUCAACCAAACACAAGAAUACUAUUACAGUUUUAUUCCAUUC